AUUUAUAUAGUUUAAAAUAAAAACUUUACAUUUUCAUUGUAAAAAUAAAACUUAAUGUUUUUAUAAAUU
RNAcentral lists this transfer RNA (69 nucleotides) under Nipponeurorthus fuscinervis. RNAcentral describes it as "tRNA-Glu". Lineage: Eukaryota; Metazoa; Arthropoda; Insecta; Neuroptera; Nevrorthidae. The record is from RNAcentral.